RNAcentral lists this small nuclear RNA (107 nucleotides) under Dasypus novemcinctus (nine-banded armadillo). The record is from RNAcentral. Lineage: Eukaryota; Metazoa; Chordata; Mammalia; Cingulata; Dasypodidae.
GGGCUCACUUCAACAGCACAUGUACUAAAAUUGGAAUGAAACAGAGAAGAUUUGAAUGGCCCAUGCAUAAGGAUGACACACACAUUCAUGAAGCAUUCCAUAUUUUU